Molecule: ribosomal RNA, 305 nt
Filed under: uncultured bacterium
Lineage: Bacteria
Description: bacterial SSU rRNA
Rfam family: Bacterial small subunit ribosomal RNA
Source: RNAcentral
UGCCUACGGGGGGCAGCAGUGAGGAAUAUUGGUCAAUGGGCGGAAGCCUGAACCAGCCAAGUCGCGUGAGGGAAUAAGGCCCUACGGGUCGUAAACCUCUUUUGCCGGGGAGCAAGGGCGGGGACGUGUCCCGGCCCGGAGAGUACCCGGAGAAAAAGCAUCGGCUAACUCCGUGCCAGCAGCCGCGGUAAUACGGAGGAUGCGAGCGUUAUCCGGAUUUACUGGGUGUAAAGGGAGCGUAGACGGCUGUGCAAGCCAGAUGUGAAAGCCCGGGGCUCAACCCCGGGACUGCAUUUGGAACUGUG